GGCCACCCAAUCGCCUCCCAGUGACUUUCAUCGGAGAAAUUGGAGAAGAAAAUCUUUUCCUCUACCCUCUCAGGUAAUAAAAUCCCCAUGUGAGAGUUGCCCUCCCUGUACCCC
Long non-coding RNA from Panthera uncia (snow leopard), 114 nucleotides. RefSeq lists it as uncharacterized. The record is from RefSeq and is a predicted model, not a curated record. The transcript has 2 exons. NCBI's taxonomy places the organism in Eukaryota, Metazoa, Chordata, Mammalia, Carnivora, Felidae.